UCAUUUGGAUCUAUAGCUCUAUUACAUAUUGAUUUUGGAAUUUUGGGAAAGUCAUUUAAUCUCUCAAUUAUAGUUUCUCUUGGGAUUAUUAGUUUCUUCCCUGCCCCCAGGGGAGCUGGUAUAAAAAUCAAAUGAACUAGUUUUAUAAGACAUAUGUAUUACAAUGAUGAGAUAGCAACACGAAUUCAUCAGUUUUUUUUUCUUUUUAUUUGUUUUGCCACCAUUCCUCCACCACAGGUCUUGGAACCGGAACCUAAGUGGUAAUUGGUCAUCUUCUCAUCUGCCUGCAAGCUGCUUCUCCUUUCAACUGUGACUGCAGUAUUUGCUUUCUUUGGAAAACAAGAUUUUCUGCAAAUAUCUUGGGAUGGAAGAAACUAAAAGGAGAAAGUGAGUGUAUUUGACAUAAGAGUCCAGCUCAAAGAGUUUCAAGUGGAACUCAUUUGGAAGGAAUAAGGGC
Molecule: long non-coding RNA, 457 nt
Organism: Erinaceus europaeus (western European hedgehog)
Lineage: Eukaryota; Metazoa; Chordata; Mammalia; Eulipotyphla; Erinaceidae
Exons: 3
Source: RefSeq, a predicted model, not a curated record